GGAGGCUUAUGAUGUUAUGUCUAAUGACAAUUGCCUACAUUGCCUGAUUGUCUUGUGAAUGACAAAAUAAAAGUUCUGAAGCUUCC
This is a non-coding RNA of Corchorus olitorius, 86 nucleotides long. NCBI's taxonomy places the organism in Eukaryota, Viridiplantae, Streptophyta, Magnoliopsida, Malvales, Malvaceae. The record is from Rfam.